Numida meleagris (helmeted guineafowl) is the source of this 6930-nucleotide long non-coding RNA. RefSeq lists it as uncharacterized. Lineage: Eukaryota; Metazoa; Chordata; Aves; Galliformes; Numididae. The record is from RefSeq and is a predicted model, not a curated record. The transcript has 2 exons.
ACCUAAGCCCAAAAAAACAAGAAUUAGAGUAAUACCUGACAAGGAACUGUACAGGAAAAAAGCUACCAAAAGGUGAAAAAUUGCCUGACGUCAGGACUUUCUGAAUUGCUCCAUGUUCUCCUUUCCUGAAAUACUGAGUGAUAGGAUUUACUCAAGGUGAAGCAGAGUGCUCUAGCCUCUAAGCAUCCAUCUGCAUAUGCACUGUUCCAAAGGACAGGAGGACCUCUGUAACUGAACAGCACUGCUGGGUAGGUGGGUUCCACCCACUGGAAGAAAACCAGCCGUGGAGCUCUGAAGUACAGCCCUGGUGGUUAACGAGCUUGUGGCCGGGACUGAGCAGAUAUAAAACAUCAACCAAGAGUGUCAACACAUUUCGUGCUGUGACAAUCUCACCCCGGGAGCUACAUUACUAGUACACACUGGAAACCCUGGAUUCAAAACUGAGGGAUCUUCAUAUUCAGAAGAUCUGAGAUUAAAUCCCACUGUCACUCAAGGAUAGUUUCAGUAUGGUGGAGUUCAUAAGGCACACAGGCCUGCAUCUGCUCUGCCUGCACGGCUCAUCUCAGACAUAGCUGCUCUGCAGUCUGCAGCAGGACGGCAGCUCGCUGCGGGGCCGGGGAGGAGGCACAGGACAGGGCAGGGCAGUUCUUACCGAAGGUCCUUCCAUGGAAGCCACCCAUGAAGGAGAGCAUGGCGUAGUCGGGGCAGCCGGGGGGCUGGAAGCAAAGCGCAGAGGUCAGCGUGGUGCCGGAGCCGAGCCCUGCGGCCUGCCCAAGGCCUUCCUCCCCAGGCAGCAGCCACCAAAGAUGGUGACAUCGGCACAUUUAAGAAAUGCGUCAUCCCGUAAGAGCUUCCUGAACUCCUACGUUAUAUCAUUAGCAUUAAAAAAUAUUUGGCAAUUUAUACCGAUAAUACUAUACAACAGCAGAACAUUCAGUACAAUCAGCCCUUUUUGGUACAAAUGACAAACACUUGUGCACGGUGUGCCCAUGUCUGGGGGUGGCGGGGCCUCUGUGAGCAGAGGUGGGGCUGCCCCAGCUCCAGGCCCCACAGGGCACAGCUGAGCCCCACAGCGCUGCUGGGGCACGGGUUUCAGAAUGGGCAGAGGGGGGCUGCAGUGAGGGAAAAGCGAUCCAGAGCAGAUCACACUGCACAGCCCUGAAGGAAGCCACAGCCUGUGGAGAACCCAUGCCAGAGCAGCUUUAUCUUGAGGGACUGCAGCCCAUGGAAGACCUGCAUGGGGCAGGGGAAAUGCGUGAGGAGGAAGGAGUGGCUGACAGGAACAGUUAUGGACUGAACACUGAGCCUGGGUAAAGGGAUGGUGGGGCCACAACACAACAGAUUCCCUAAGGGCUGAUAAGCAACUUCCUUGUAUGCUACAGACUGCCUAGACAAGAAGCAGAGAUACCAAAGCAGUGAGUGAGAGCUGCCUCCUACGUGUACAGCUGAGUGUCUGCACUUAGGGCACGCUCGGACCAGCACACAGCUACUGACAUGCUGUACCAAGAAUGAAAAUGGAACCAUGACAAAUGACUUGCAACCUGUGUACUAUGUGGAAUUAGGUGCCAUUCUUUUAUUAGUACGGGCACAGCCAUCUCUCUGACCAGACUGUGAGCGACACCAGAGAACUUUAAAACCAAUUCUGAAGACAAGCAAAACCCAAACCCUCCUUCUUCACGUUUUUAAAGCCAAAUGAAUUCACUAAUCUCAUGCAAAUGAACAGAGUGCUUUUCUCUAGAGAGGUGACAACCAUGGGGCUGGGACCACCAGGUUACGUGCAUCUCAAAGAAGAAAUUAAAUACAGUUUUCUGCUACUGCAAGUUAAGAUUUGUACCUGGCAUGAGCAAGACCACCUCAGAUGAAAGCUGAGUAGGAUUUCAGAGCUUUUUCAGCUGCAUCUCAGUUUCCUCAUCCCACCCAUAACAAUUAAGUUUUAACUACCCUCCUGAUUACUUCUAAGCCAUAAAAUCACAGCUGCUGGAAAAAUGAAAAGGACUGUCAAUAUUAUUUGCAAAAUGCACAUGUAUUAAUAAUCCCUAUGGAUCCAUCCAUCACCUGGUUCCCUUUCUAGGUAUUUCCCAAGAUUCACUGUGGAAGGAUGCAGAAUACUAGCAGCAGGUCUUGUUAUUUGUUGGAAGCAGUUUGUCUGUCACCAUUUUCUAAGUUGACAAAACUGAGAUUCCACUUUAGAGUCAGGAAAGCCAUUUUUUCCCCCCAGCCUUCUCUUAGAAACCCAAGGCAGUGUUACAGCUGUAUGGUAGAAAACCCCACAGCGUUACCUGGUUAAUCAUGCACGAUUCCAGCUCCUCUUUUGUGACAUUAUUACGGCCCCUCUCCUUGUUCUGCAAAUAAACAAAACAAAAACAAAAAAACACCAGCAGUUUUCCUUUAGUUGUAAUCACUGAAUUUGUAGCUGAGUUAAGAAUUACUAAUUCUGUUAUUUCAAACUAAAGCCAAUGGAGACAUUGACUGUGGUUCCUAUGACUGCAAUAUGCAUUUUGUAAGACAAACUGUUUUAGGUAAAUGUCAGUUCAAGAUGUUGGCCCUAGUAAUGUACAGAUAGGCAAAGCCAGUCUGUCCUCUCACCCCUACACAUCAGGAGAAAGGACACUGCUGAUGGGGAGGCAAUUCCCAAGGAAGACAUGACCUUCCUUGAGUUUUAGGUUAAACCAUUUCUGGAAGAAGAGGAAACAGAUCACAGUACACAGCUGAUCACGCGGUGAACAAAGAAUAAGCAGUAAUACCACAUACAUUUUCUUUCUUUCCUUUCCUUUUUAAUUUCUCAAGUUGUAUCAAUAGCAAUUGAAAGCUCAGAUGAAGGCUUUUUAAUAAAGAACCUAUAUUAAGUUGAAUAUAAAUAACAUUACACCUGGAGAGCCUCCAAGCCUUACUUUGCUUGGUAACAGCAUUUAUGUUGAUGGAUAAAUACAGAUUUCUACAUCCAAAACUACAAAAAAAGCCCACUAUUAAAAUUUUACUCACUCUGUACCACAUAAAUAUUAAUUUAAAUGCAUUUUCAUUUGAGCAGGAUCCACAAGCCAUGGUCAUCACCUGUGGCAGACCCUUGGGAGCCACCUGUCAAUAAAAAGAGAAAAUCACUUCAAAAGACUGAGCACAACUGUAGUGGAAACUGAACAUUAUGUAAUGUAAUUAGUUUCAAUGUAAUGGGAGAACAACCAUGCCUGGGAUGAGGAAAGCUGACUCUUACUGCAGCUGAAGGGGCUCAACACAGUCCACUUAUGCUAUCUCCUAUGAAAGCAUGGUGAACAGAAGUAAAUGAAAAUGCAUUCUGUUCUCAAUUCUUGAAUCCACACUGAAGGAGGCAGCAUCUGUGCUGAGAGCAGACACAUCACCCUUUCACAUUCAACUGUGAAGCCUGGGGAAAAAGGUUCAAUCUUGUCACUUGCUGGUUCCGGCCUCUUGAAAGAGCUUCCUCCCUCCAGCAGGUGGACAAAGAGCUAAUCCAUGGUGUUCCCUAUGAAAACCCCACUUCUCUUCUUGUUCCCUGAACACAGAAUGCAGUCACUCGGCACAGCCAUCUCAGACUUACUGAUAACAAGGAUUCCUUCAGUCUUUCUGAAAAGUUCUCUGGAGAAACAGCUGGAAACCUCAUCUUCCCUACCGCUCAAGAAGUCAGCCUGCUCUAAUGUUAUUACAAAAGCAAAUCAUGCCCCUGAAUUCCCCAUUCUAGUUGAAUGACAACAGCCCUUAUUAUCCCGCCUGAGCAGCGGAGCAUUCGGCUACUGCAUUAACAAAUCAAUUAUAAAUUCCAUUUUGAAUAUUUUAGUUCAAAACAAGGAAAUAUCCAGACUGUUUUUCAGACGCACAUCACGCCGCAAGGAAUCUGUUAAAAUUAUUAUGAAGAUGACACAAGUGGCUAUUUGGACACAGGCAACUAAACCUGCACUGCAUCAGCUGCCAAGGGAAGAACUGUGAGAGGCGGCCAGGGCUGAGGGCUGGGCACUGAGAGCUGAAGCUGUGGCUGCAGCCCAGGGCACCUUGGAGAGCGCAACAUCGGGAAUCUCAAAUUACACUUGUUAUGGAACAACAACCAGCGCUCAGGGAGCUUAACCAUUAACUCCGACACUGCUUGUAAAAACGUGUGAAUCUGUUGCAGGGGUUAAGUUAGCAUGAAGAACGCGAAGACCUUUGUAUCUUUUGUUAUGUAACACAAAUUGAAGGCUUCUGUUACCCGUAACCCAUUUUAUUCCAUCCCCACAAGAUGCCUUCUUCCUCUCUCUGCACUCGGUGCCCUGCAGCUCUGUCUGCCCCCUCCAGCACUCCCUGAUCAUCAGCGCAUCCUUGCCAAGACCCUGGUGCAGUAAGAGAGAACCCUUCAACCCUGCCUUUCUGCAGGAGCAGGAACACGUAGAAAGGUGCUGAACUGCUGCGCGGGUUUAUAUUAAUAAAUCUAACGCAGGAAAGACCGGAAUGGUUAAGUAAUUAUUAUGUAACUAUUGUAGACAAAGUCAGACAGCUCCUGGGCUAAGACAGCAGACGGGAGCUUGUUUCAUUGCCAAGGGCAGCACCACGGUUUAUAGCUUUAUGAAUCCACUCUCCAGCACUUUCCUAUCAGAAGUGACAGAGCUGGCUCUAAGAGGAGGGCACCUGUUCCAUCACUUUGGCUGCCUGUCCCAAUCAGCACAGCAGAAAAGAACACGUCCUCCAGGCUCAUGAAUGUGCCUGUUUGCAACAGGAUAAAAACUGCUGAAAGAAAGAGAUGGAGAAAGCCUUAAGAACAGGCUGCCGCCAGCAACACCAAACUACACCCCUCUGAAUCUCCAAGAAAAAGAACAGGCCUCACCAACAAUAAAAAACAGAUUAUUUCAUUAGCUAUUGCAGGUGACAUGCAAGUAACCAUGUCGACAGAAUCCCUCCUGGCAUUUGGCUGCAGAGGGUUUCUAACUCUAUUACACACAUUAGACACAGGUUUAAAGGAACACGUGUUACAAUCUCCCCAAAACUAUGGGGUUUAAAAAAAACCAAAACAGUUUUAAAACAGAAACAGUCCAGAACAUCUUUGCCUGCAGAUUUUUUAUACUUCUUAUCUCUCUGCACAGGCGGUUAUUACCUCUCACCUUCUGCUGAUAACUACAUUCUGGUGCAGCAGAACGUUAUUAAAUCUCGGGGAGCUCUGACAGAUUCAUAAAAGAUUCUGCUGGGUUUACGUGCAGAGAUAAGCACCGAUGACUACAGGCACCUUGAUCUGAGAACGUCAGCUCACCCAGAAAUCUCAAAAAGAUUUUCUUCUGGUGUCCGAGUUAGGACUUAUCUCUGUCACCAAGAGGGACGCUGUUAGCAACCUCUGCAGCUUCACUUUGUCCAUCCUGUCGCUCAGUUCAACUUAGAAAAAACUAAUACUGUGUGUUCAGUCAGAUUUAAGUCAGUCUGUAUUACAUUCCCAUUUAGUUGUUGCUGCACAUCACAGAUCCAUGGUGUGAGAGGCUGUAUGAAGUGCUGCACUAUAGCUCUUACAUGGCACAUUACACUCCUGACCAUUUUCCUUUCUACAUGGCAGCAUCCUGAAUGCACUUCAAGCAGUUUUCCCACCAUGCAUCCCAUUGUGUGUCUUGAAUAUUUGCUUUGAUAAAAGCUCAGCGAUCAUUAGGAGGGGAGGAAAUGAACUAAGAGACCAGUCAAAAUCCUACUUUAAAUCAGCGGGUUCUCAGGAAAAGAAAUCCACCCUCACUUAGCUAAACAGCUUGGUAAAACUGUUUUGAAGACAUGAAUUUUGUUUGCUUAAUUUUCUACUCCUUUCAAACCAUGAAACUCACCACUGUCCCAUGCCAUAAUGUGUGACGGGACGUUAGAAUGAACGCAUCAAAGAGUUUCAUCUCUUGGUCUGCAUGAAUGGAUGAUGAAAUCCCAUUCCUUUUUCCAACAAAGACUGCUGAGAACAGCUGGCUACAGUUCCGCCAACCUCCUUUUACACACAUUUUCCAUCAUUAGAAAGCUACAAUGAGCAAACAGAAAUGUUCAGAUAAAUCAUUCCAUGGCUGCAAGCAGAGCCAAAAUAGCAGUGGAGGUGUUCCCAGAAAAGUGAUGAAUGUAUGUCCAAAAGCCCAGGGGAGAUGCUGCCACAGCUGCCUGCAAACGAUGCAAGUGCUUUGGCAUGAGGAAGGUAGUCAAUGGAAGCUCAAGAAGAAAUGAGAAAGGCCAAAUGAAACAGGCUGUCUAGGUUCUCUAAGAGUUGGUCCCUUGCUUUGAGUCUGGCCCUAACACAAAUCCUAUUAAUAGACGAUUGCAGGGUACGUUAAUUGUAGUUUAGACAAGAGGAGAAAAACUAAAAACAAAUCAAAACACACACACACAGAACAACAUCAGCCACAUUAGCCAUCGGCUGUUACCUUUCCAGCAUGCUGAAAGUGUCAGAAAAGGCUAUAUGGCAUUUAGAAUGCUUAAACCCUGAAGUUGUUCAGCUAUUAAUAAAGAAAUGAAUAAUAAAUAGCUGAAUAAUUAGCUACUGAUAAAUAGCGCAAUGUGUUUCCUAAGAAGUUCUGCCAGUUAGGAGAAUAUUUCUUCCCUCUCCUGACUGCAGGAAGAUGAGCAGUGCUGACCCAGUUCCUAACCUUUUAGGAGGAUCUUUGUCCAUGCAACAGGACUACAAACCCCCAAUAUUUUUCACUAUUAAGAAGAAAGGAGACAGAGGGCUUUUAUGUGUUCCUAGCUCAUUCUUUUUUCAUUUGUCUUCUCUCUUUGCUAAUGUCAAUGUUCCCGAUACUCUAAGAGUUGUACUGAACUAAGCAAAGAUGGGGCAACUGAAAGACAUAAAGCCACUGGCUCUGGAUGCUGCCCAUAACAAGUCAGCUUCUUUAGAAGACCUGCCUGCUGCACUCAGUGAUACCUGCAAGCCAUUAUAUGGACUCAUAACACAAAGUUUCUCCAAAAUAGCACUUCUUGUUUGAAUAAAGGAAGGUCUGGAAUCAUAAA